RNAcentral lists this ribosomal RNA (497 nucleotides) under uncultured bacterium. RNAcentral describes it as "partial 16S ribosomal RNA". It matches the Rfam family "Bacterial small subunit ribosomal RNA", at positions 28 to 507 of the family's 1533-position model. The record is from RNAcentral.
GAUGAACGCUGGCGGCGUGCCUAAUACAUGCAAGUCGAGCGAACAGACGAGGAGCUUGCUCCUCUGACGUUAGCGGCGGACGGGUGAGUAACACGUGGAUAACCUACCUAUAAGACUGGGAUAACUUCGGGAAACCGGAGCUAAUACCGGAUAAUAUAUUGAACCGCAUGGUUCAAUAGUGAAAUACGGUUUUGCUGUCACUUAUAGAUGGAUCCGCGCCGCAUUAGCUAGUUGGUAAGGUAACGGCUUACCAAGGCGACGAUGCGUAGCCGACCUGGGAGGGUGAUCGGCCACACUGGAACUGAGACACGGUCCAGACUCCUACGGGAGGCAGCAGUAGGGAAUCUUCCGCAAUGGGCGAAAGCCUGACGGAGCAACGCCGCGUGAGUGAUGAAGGUCUUCGGAUCGUAAAACUCUGUUAUUAGGGAAGAACAAAUGUGUAAGUAACUAUGCACGUCUUGACGGUACCUAAUCAGAAAGCCACGGCUAACUACGUG